AACGAACGCUGGCGGCAGGCCUAACACAUGCAAGUCGAGCGAGCAUUUCGGUGCUAGCGGCGGACGGGUGAGUAACGCGUGGGAACGUGCCCUUUUCUGCGGAAUAGUCCUGGGAAACUGGGGGUAAUACCGCAUACGCCCUUUUGGGGAAAGAUUUAUCGGAGAAGGAUCGGCCCGCGUUGGAUUAGGUAGUUGGUGGGGUAAUGGCCCACCAAGCCGACGAUCCAUAGCUGGUUUGAGAGGAUGAUCAGCCACACUGGGACUGAGACACGGCCCAGACUCCUACGGGAGGCAGCAGUGGGGAAUCUUAGACAAUGGGGGCAACCCUGAUCUAGCCCUGCCGCGUGAGUGAUGAAGGCCUUAGGGUUGUAAAGCUCUUUCAGCUGGGAAGAUAAUGACGGUACCAGCAGAAGAAGCCCCGGCUAACUCCGU
This 432-nucleotide ribosomal RNA is filed under the name uncultured bacterium. RNAcentral's name for it is "partial 16S ribosomal RNA". It matches the Rfam family "Bacterial small subunit ribosomal RNA", at positions 29 to 506 of the family's 1533-position model. The record is from RNAcentral.